CUGGCCGUAAACUAUGAACACUAGGUGUUGGGGGCAUCAACCCUUCCAGUGCCGAAGCUAACGCAUUAAGUGUUCCGCCUGGGGAGUACGGCCGCAAGGCUAAAACUCAAAGGAAUUGACGGGGCCCCGCACAAGCGGUGGAGCAUGUUGCUUAAUUCGACGCAACGCGAAGAACCUUACCAGGCCUUGACAUGUAGGGAAUCCUCCCGAAACGGAGGAGUGCCCUUCGGGGAACCCUAACACAGGUGG
This 249-nucleotide ribosomal RNA is filed under the name uncultured bacterium. Its description in RNAcentral is "partial 16S ribosomal RNA". It matches the Rfam family "Bacterial small subunit ribosomal RNA", at positions 796 to 1041 of the family's 1533-position model. The record is from RNAcentral.